AUUCCAGCUCCAAUAGCGUAUAUUAAAGUUGUUGCAGUUAAAAAGCUCGUAGUCGGAACUUUGGCCGGCGGUGAGCGUCCAAGGGCCUUCGGCCUUUGCGCAUGCGAUCCGCUAGCCAUGUACUUCGGAGGAACGCGUGUGCUUUUCACUAAGUGCGCGUGGGAUUCCGAUAGUUUACUUUGAGAAAAAUAGAGUGUUCAAAGCAGGCGUUUUGCCUUGAAUACAUUAGCAUGGGGUAAUGAAAUAGGACAUUGGUUCUAUUUUGAUGGUUUACGGACCGAUGUAAUGAUUAAUAGGGACAGUCAGGGGCACUCGUAUUCCGCCGAGAGAGGUGAAAUUCUCAGACCAGCGGAAGACGAACCACUGCGAAAGCAUUUGCCAGGGAUGUUUUCAUUA
Molecule: ribosomal RNA, 396 nt
Filed under: Pterocystida sp.
Lineage: Eukaryota; Centroplasthelida; Pterocystida
Description: partial small subunit ribosomal RNA
Rfam family: Eukaryotic small subunit ribosomal RNA
Source: RNAcentral